RNAcentral lists this ribosomal RNA (305 nucleotides) under uncultured bacterium. RNAcentral describes it as "bacterial SSU rRNA". It matches the Rfam family "Bacterial small subunit ribosomal RNA", at positions 334 to 656 of the family's 1533-position model. The record is from RNAcentral.
UUGUCCUACGGGGGGCAGCAGUGGGGGAUAUUGCACAAUGGGGGGAACCCUGAUGCAGCGACGCCGCGUGGGCGAUGGAGUGCUUCGGCAUGUAAAGCCCUAUCAGCAGGGAAGAAAAUGACGGUACCUGACUAAGAAGCCCCGGCUAAAUACGUGCCAGCAGCCGCGGUAAUACGUAGGGGGCAAGCGUUAUCCGGAUUUACUGGGUGUAAAGGGAGCGUAGACGGCCAGACAAGUCUGAAGUGAAAAUCCAGCGCUUAACGUUGGAAGUGCUUUGGAGACUGCCGGGCUAGAGUGCAGGAGGG